This 251-nucleotide ribosomal RNA is filed under the name uncultured bacterium. RNAcentral describes it as "partial 16S ribosomal RNA". It matches the Rfam family "Bacterial small subunit ribosomal RNA", at positions 524 to 771 of the family's 1533-position model. The record is from RNAcentral.
UACAGAGGGUGCGAGCGUUGUCCGGAAUCAGCUGGGCGUAAAGGGCGCGUAGGCGGUCCGUUAAGCGUGUGGUGAAAGCCCGGGGCUACAACGUCCGGGUCUGCCGUGCGAACUGGGGGACUGGAGCUGUCAGAGGCAGGAGGAAGUUCCGGGUGUAGCGGUGGAAUGACGUAGAGAUCCGGAAGAACACCGGUGGCGAAGGCGGCCUGCUGGGACAGUGCUGACGCUGAGCGCGACAGCGUGGGGAGCAA